UAAGCGAAUAGUGAAAUCUUGUGGCUCAACCAUAAACACAUUAUUCGAACUGCAAUACUCGAGAACGAGAGAGGUCACUGGAAUUCCCUGUGUAGGAGUGAAAUCCGUAGAUAUAGGGAGGAACACCAAUGGCGUAGGCAGGUGACUGGCUCGUUUCUGACACUGAGGCACGAAAGCGUGGGGAGCGAACGGGAUUAGAUACCCCGGUAGUCCACGCCGUAAACGAUGGAUACUA
RNAcentral lists this ribosomal RNA (235 nucleotides) under uncultured Candidatus Saccharibacteria bacterium. RNAcentral's name for it is "partial 16S ribosomal RNA". It matches the Rfam family "Bacterial small subunit ribosomal RNA", at positions 584 to 818 of the family's 1533-position model. The record is from RNAcentral. Lineage: Bacteria; Candidatus Saccharimonadota.